AUCGCCUGGGAACUACGAGCAAAGCUUAAAACCCAAAGGACUUGACGGUACCCCACAUCCACCUAGAGGAGCCUGUCCUAUAAUCGAUAACCCCCGCUUAACCUCACCAUUUUUAGCCUAUCAGCCUGUAUACCUCCGUCGCCAGCUUACCACGUGAGCGGCCCUCAGUGAGCUUAAUGUUUAUACACCAACACGUCAGGUCAAGGUGCAGCAGAUAAAAUGGGAAGAGAUGGGCUACACUCUCUAUUCUAGAAAACACGGAAGACUAUUUAUGAAACCUAGUCAGAAGGCGGAUUUAGUAGUAAAAAGAGACAAGAGUGCUCUUUUUAACAUGGCACUGGGGUGUGUACACACCGCCCGUCACCCUCUUCAAGGCUAAUAUAAAGUCCCUAACACACCUAAGCACUACAGAAGAGGCAAGUCGUAACAUGGUAAGUAUACCGGAAGGUGUGCUUGGAAA
RNAcentral lists this ribosomal RNA (460 nucleotides) under Osteocephalus sp. (B) VG-2010. RNAcentral's name for it is "partial 12S ribosomal RNA". It matches the Rfam family "Bacterial small subunit ribosomal RNA", at positions 868 to 1522 of the family's 1533-position model. Lineage: Eukaryota; Metazoa; Chordata; Amphibia; Anura; Hylidae. The record is from RNAcentral.